RNAcentral lists this long non-coding RNA (1217 nucleotides) under Homo sapiens (human). RNAcentral's name for it is "HSALNT0374551". The record is from RNAcentral. Lineage: Eukaryota; Metazoa; Chordata; Mammalia; Primates; Hominidae.
ACUGUCUCUACGAUUUACAAAGAUGCUAGACUCAUAGAGUAUACUCUUAAUUGUUUGCUGAUAGUCACUUGCAAUUUGCAACACGUUUUCAAGUCAUGGGACUCUGAGACAGCUGUAGUCUAAUUUCAAUGCCAGGUUAAGUACCAUAGUGCUAGUCAUGAAUUUCUAAGAAUUUAAAAUGCAAUCCUCUGAUAUUCACUACCUUUGGGACACUUGGUAAGUCUGUUAAUUCUUUUGUUUGUUUAUUUGAGAUGGAGUUGCUUUGUCACCCAGGCUGGAGUGCAGGGGCACACAAUCACAGCUUACUGCAGCCUUGACCUCCCUGGCUCAAGUGAUCCUUCUGCCUUGGGCUCCCAAAGUGCUGAAUUACAGGCAGGAGCCAUUGUUCCCAGCCCGAGUAUAAUUCUUUACACCCAUUUCUCUCCCAUCUAUUCCUCUCUUCCUGCUAUACCGUACAGCUUCCCAAUUAUAAUGUUUUUCUUAGUACCUAACCCAGGGUUUACAAGGCCUUUCUUAAAGCGGAUACUUCAAAGAUACGUUUGAUUGCUUGCUGUGCCAGUCAUUCAUUUAUCGCCUCUCAGCUCCAAAUUCACCCUUGAAUAUCUGUUCUCAGGGUCUAUAUUGAACCCUUGAUGGUUUUUUUUUUCUUUUUGAGAGCAUGUUGUAAAUUUAGCCAGUGGGUGUGGGAGGGAAAUUGCAGGAAGAAGUUAACUUUUCCUGGUUCCUGUGUGUAUUUUCAUUCUUGCUUCUGCUGCCUGGUUAGUCAGUGGUGGAAAGACAUGCAGUGCUCCUCUGCUGGACCAUGCGACCAGUGUGUGUAGUUCCUGGAACUACCUUGUAUCCUUGGCCUGGGCCAGGUGACCCGCUUCCUGCAGGACUCUCGAUGUUGACACUGCAUGCUCCAGGCUUCUAACCUGCAGCAGCUCUCCUACACACUUUGCACAUCUUCCUGCUAGCUGUGACUCCCUUGCACCCUCGAGGAUUAUUUCAAGUUUUUCUAGCCUCUGGUGAUACAGUAAACUUCUCUGCCCUCCAGUGGGCUACAAUAAUAUUUUCUCCAAUUACAUCUGAACCUUGACCUUGAGAAGAGGGCCCUCCUUCCAAGUUCGUCCUUCUUUCGUCUGCUCCCUCUGUUUUAGGGUACACUUCAGUGUUCUCUUUACAUCUUUGUAGCUGCUUUCCUCUCACAACGGAAAAUUCUUCAUUUUAAACAUCUC